UUCCGAACAAGAGGUAUUCAGGGAUGUGU
This 29-nucleotide non-coding RNA is filed under the name Mus musculus (house mouse). The record is from RNAcentral. Lineage: Eukaryota; Metazoa; Chordata; Mammalia; Rodentia; Muridae.